GGGGAUGAACGGUCUCGACGGGGCAGGUUGUUCUGAGAUGGCAGGCCGUAGAGCGUCGGCUACGUUAAAAUAGGCGCAAACCUAUAAAUGCCAAAAACACUGGCAAGGCUUUCGCGUUCGGUGCACCGGCCACUUCGUUGGCCCUUGCUGCCUAACCGAUAAGCUAACUCCAUGACCUUCCACGGAAGGUCACGGCCCGCUUGGAUGGUGCGACCAGGUUGAGCGUAAGCCGUCAAACACUGGAACGCUGCGACAGUGAACGCCGGUAACACUGUCUAAGAUCACCCGGCUGGUCUGGCAACGAAUCCUGUCGCACGGAGUCCGCCAGACGACAUGAAAUAGCGCGACUAAGCCUGUAGAGGUCUCUGGACGAAUGUUUCGGACGCGGGUUCAACUCCCGCCAUCUCCACCU
RNAcentral lists this transfer-messenger RNA (412 nucleotides) under Caldilineaceae. RNAcentral's name for it is "Caldilinea sp014879855 Standard tmRNA". It matches the Rfam family "transfer-messenger RNA". Rfam says of the family: Bacterial tmRNA, also known as 10Sa RNA or SsrA, is named for its dual tRNA and mRNA-like properties. Its role is to liberate the mRNA from a stalled ribosome. The record is from RNAcentral. RNAcentral also lists the same sequence under 1 other name. Lineage: Bacteria; Bacillati; Chloroflexota; Caldilineae; Caldilineales.